This 248-nucleotide unclassified non-coding RNA is filed under the name rhizosphere metagenome. RNAcentral's name for it is "partial ribosomal RNA internal transcribed spacer region". The record is from RNAcentral.
GUAGGUGAACCUGCGGAAGGAUCAUUAACGAGUUAGGGUCUUCCAGGCCCGACCUCCAAACCCUAUGUUUAUUGAACCUCUGUUGCUUCGGCGGACCCGUCUCACGGCCGCCGGAGGACCGCUGAAAGGCGUCCUCUGGCCCGCGUCCGCCGAUGGCCAACCACUCAAACUCUGAAUGAAUCGUGUCAUAUGUCUGAGUCUAUGAUUAAAUUAAAGCAAAACUUUCAACAACGGAUCUCUUGGUUCUG